RNAcentral lists this non-coding RNA (26 nucleotides) under Rattus norvegicus (Norway rat). The record is from RNAcentral. Lineage: Eukaryota; Metazoa; Chordata; Mammalia; Rodentia; Muridae.
UGUGCCCAAUGGUCGGGUCAGCACCC